GGUAUUGCUGUAGUGUUUUAGUGCCUAUGAACAGUGCAGUAUUAGAAAUUUUAAUGUUUCUACUUUCUGUCCUCAAAAUGAGCCGCAAGGGCCUGUGGGUGAUAGAUUCAUCAUUGGAGAGUAUGGUGUUAUCCUGCCUUAUGCAGAGUUAAGGGAAGAGACAUGGGGAAUCUCAUACCAGUGAGGGAAGAGUUUACCAAGAGAUGAGAAAACGGUUCCAUUAUCUAUGAAACAAUGAAAAUGCGUCUUGUAACAAUGCAAGGUUUUCCAGGAAAAUCAAUAGUUACAGAAUAAUAUAUUUACACUUUCUUGCUUUGUCUGGACAGAUAUCUUGCAUUUUGAAUAACUUUCAUUAAAAUGGAUGGAAAAGUGAUAAUUUUUUUUAUUUUUAAUCUAGAGGCAGUUUUCAAAAUCCUUUAUUUUCUAGAUGAUUUUACAUUACUCAGUCAUGGGAAAUAUUUCCAUGGGGUGGAUGGAGAGAAGGAAAGGAGGCAGCUCCUCAUUUUGAUUUCUGUGAUUUUUGUUGUUGUUCUUGAUGUUGUAGUGGGUCACGUGAGCAGGCCAUCCAUUUGUUUCAAUUGAAAGAAUUUACCAAACCUUUGACAUUAAUUGAAUUUACAAUACCCUCUGUUCUACUGUAGUUGCCUCUGUAGCAAUGGAAGAUGAUACAACAAAUAAUUUAUUAUUUCAAAUGAGUCAUGGAGUCAUAGGCUUGUGUUGGAAGGAACCUUAAAGAUCAUCUAGUUCCCACUCCCAGCUGAAAGAAGGAAGGAAGCAAAUAAGCAGCUAGAAUUGGCUUUAUUUCUUCAUUAUUUAUUAUUUCCUGCUGAUCCGGAAAACCAUGAAGGGGAACAUGACCCAGGUAUUAAACAGAGGACAGAAUCAGCAACGUGUACCAGAGAUGAACUGAUAACCAAGUUCUUCACAGCCCGCUCAGAUGUGAUUCCUUCUACACCUUUUUUCCUCCCUUUCCUAGUUUGAGCAUGCUCUGCUGUUGAGACAGAGCUUGGAAGAAAAAGAGAAUGAAAUCCCAAGGUUGGUUUAGAAAUCCGUAAGCCGUAAGGGAAACAUUCAUUACAGCGUGGUGCCAGCAGCCCUGUCCCUCCUCGCAGGGCUGAGGCAGUGCAGGGCUGGGAUCGUGGCCCUUGGCUUUGUCUUGUAAUCCUUGCAAUCCCAUCAUGUGUCAGUGCUCUCAUCAUCUGAGUGAAGAUAAUUAGAAGUGACUGGGUGAGAAAAGUUCCAUCUCUGUGGAAAAACUGCAGCACUCAAAAUCUGGUUUCCUUUGUUCCUCACUGGAACAAAAGAAGCACUUAAAACUGCUCCUAGGGGAAAACACUGAAUUAG
Molecule: non-coding RNA, 1344 nt
Organism: Zonotrichia albicollis (white-throated sparrow)
Lineage: Eukaryota; Metazoa; Chordata; Aves; Passeriformes; Passerellidae
Source: RefSeq, a predicted model, not a curated record